GAUGAAGAACGUAGCGAAAUGCGAUACGUAAUGUGAAUUGCAGAAUUCAGUGAAUCAUCGAGUCUUUGAACGCACAUUGCGCCCCCUGGUAUUCCGGGGGGCAUGCCUGUCCGAGCGUCAUUGCUGCCCUCAAGCACGGCUUGUGUGUUGGGCCUCCGUCCUCCUCCCGGGGGACGGGCCCGAAAGGCAGCGGCGGCACCGCGUCCGGUCCUCGAGCGUAUGGGGCUUCGUCACCCGCUCUUGUAGGCCCGGCCGGCGCUUGCCGACACAUCAAUCUUUUUUCCAGGUUGACCUCGGAUCAGGUAGGGAUACCCGCUGAACUUAAACAUAUCAAUAAGCGGAGGA
This 345-nucleotide unclassified non-coding RNA is filed under the name soil metagenome. Its description in RNAcentral is "partial contains 5.8S ribosomal RNA, internal transcribed spacer 2, and large subunit ribosomal RNA". The stretch from base 1 to 120 matches the Rfam family "5.8S ribosomal RNA", at positions 35 to 154 of the family's 154-position model. The record is from RNAcentral.